GAACGGGUCAUAAUAGAAACACCGUCCGAUCCCUAGUCGGCAUAGUUUAUGGUUAAGACUACGACGGUAUCUGAUCGUCUUCGAUCCCCUAACUUUCGUUCCCUGAUUAAUGAAAACAUCCUUGGCGAAUGCUUUCGCAGUAGUUAGUCUUCAGCAAAUCCAAGAAUUUCACCUCUGACAGCUGAAUACUGACGCCCCCGACUAUCCCUAUUAAUCAUUACGGCGGUCCUAGAAACCAACAAAAUAGAACCGCACGUCCUAUUCUAUUAUUCCAUGCUAAUGUAUUCGAGCAAAGGCCUGCUUUGAACACUCUAAUUUUUUCACAGUAAAAGUCCUGGUUCCCCCCACAGCCAGUGAAGGCCAUGAGAUUCCCCAGAAGGAAAGGUCCAGCCGGACCAGUACUCGCGGUGAGGCGGACCGGCCAGCCAGACCCAAGGUUCAACUACGAGCUUUUUAACUGCAACAACUUUAAUAUACGCUAUUGGAGCUGGAAUUACCGCGGCUGCUGGCACCAGACUUGCCCUCCAAUUGUUCCUCGUUAAGGGAUUUAGAUUGUACUCAUUCCAAUUACGAGACCCAAAAGAGCCCCGUAUCAGUAUUUAUUGUCACUACCUCCCCGUGUCGGGAUUGGGUAAUUUGCGCGCCUGCUGCCUUCCUUGGAUGUGGUAGCCGUUUCUCAGGCUCC
This 685-nucleotide ribosomal RNA is filed under the name fungal sp. CFK2. RNAcentral's name for it is "partial 18S rRNA". Lineage: Eukaryota; Fungi. The record is from RNAcentral.